This 253-nucleotide ribosomal RNA is filed under the name uncultured bacterium. RNAcentral's name for it is "partial 16S ribosomal RNA". It matches the Rfam family "Bacterial small subunit ribosomal RNA", at positions 524 to 776 of the family's 1533-position model. The record is from RNAcentral.
UACGUAGGGUGCAAGCGUUAAUCGGAAUUACUGGGCGUAAAGCGUGCGCAGGCGGUUUUGUAAGUCUGUCGUGAAAGCCCCGGGCUCAACCUGGGAAUUGCGAUGGAGACUGCAAGGCUUGAAUCUGGCAGAGGGGGGUAGAAUUCCACGUGUAGCAGUGAAAUGCGUAGAGAUGUGGAGGAACACCGAUGGCGAAGGCAACCCCCUGGGUCAAGAUUGACGCUCAUGCACGAAAGCGUGGGGAGCAAACAGG